Non-coding RNA from Nicotiana tabacum (common tobacco), 1414 nucleotides. Lineage: Eukaryota; Viridiplantae; Streptophyta; Magnoliopsida; Solanales; Solanaceae. The record is from RefSeq and is a predicted model, not a curated record.
GUUACUUCAAUUGUACUGGACAACGGACUUUAGUUAUUGGAUCUAUUUACCUACACGUGUAUUUACUUCAAUUGCAGCAUCAGGAAUUUUCUUUUUUUAUAUUGACAUCUGUCUGCCUUUUUAAUUAUGUAAGACAUCUGGUUACAUUCUCCUUCACCGUUCUUAGUCUAUGGUUCUUUCAGUUUCUCUGCCUUCCUCUCACUUACAUUCCUAUCUUCAGUACCAGUAUACUCCUCAGAUUUGCACAUGUAUCAUGGCUAAUUAGUGCAGAAUUAAACCCUUUUAUGGAAAAUUUAAGUUUCAUGUUGCCAUUUACCUUUUUGGGCUGCAGCAGAAAAAUUUGUAUCGGCUGAACAAAGGCUUUUCGAGAAGAAAGUCUUUACUUUGGUGAUUUUGAGGCCACUGUUCAAGACUUGGAUAAUUAUGUUGGGUAUUAUUGCCAUCCACACACUAAGGAUGCAAGGGGAAAGGACUUCUGGACAAGGUGAUACUAGCAUAGAAAGAAGCUCUGAUGACCUUGCUCGCAACUAUAUAAGGAUGCAAGAACUACACUUUGAUCCUGCACCAUAUGGUUCUGAUACAAAACUUAGUAAUCUUUUGUAAAAGCUGCAAAUCUGCUAAGUGAUGUUCCUAGAGAUGAUUCUGGUUGAAUCUAACUUUUGUCUGCACAGUUUAUGAGAGCUACACAUUCUCUUCGCAUGGAGUUUACUCUUCGCUCAAGGAUUCUGUUGACAAUGAUAUGACCAUUUAUAAUUCUUGGAGUUAUGCUUGAUGGAAAGCGAUUUUCAUCGAAGACGGCGGAGGAUAAUCAGGUGUUCAUACAGUGUAAGAAUGCCACUUGCUUAUCUUGUUCCUUUGUUCAUGUUAUAUUAUGGAAAGAACUAUUAGUGCCUAGGUCUCCAGGAUAUUGUAUGCAUGGUUGGUUUUCAAUAAAUAAAAAGAUCAAUGGGAAUUCUGUGUUUCUAGGAAUACUAUAGCUGUCUCUGGUUUGAUGUUGAUUCAAUAUGGUGGAACCAUCUCAAAGGCAGAGGGUUGAGCUUCCGUCUUUUCUUCUAAUCAUCCUAAAUCCUGAAGAGAAAUUUGUACAGGGGUUAAUGGCCCUUGUAGAUCGAUCCAUUUACAUCUUCUCAGUGUCCAUAUCAAAUCAUUUAUUGUUUUAAUGGACAGUAGGUUAAUCAUGCCUACUUAAUAACAUAAUGUAGAUAGUGGGACAGGCUUGCAACAACCAGAAGUAUUGUAAAAAAGAUGAAGUAACUUGAGUCUCUGGUCUGGUUGUUCGAGAGGCACCGUCCUUACUUCCUUAUUUGCCUUGUUGGCACAUAUUGUAAAGAAAACAACAUUAUGCCCAUGCUGCAUAAAAAAAUCUUUUGAUUAUAAAUACUUAUUUUGAUUAUAAUACAAAGCGUUGUGUUUA